UGGGGAAUAUUGCGCAAUGGGCGAAAGCCUGACGCAGCGACGCCGCGUGGGGGAUGAAGCUUCUCGGAGUGUAAACCCCUUUCGACCCGGACGAAUACCUCGCAAGAGGGGUGACGGUACGGGUAUAAGAAGCCCCGGCUAACUACGUGCCAGCAGCCGCGGUAAUACGUAGGGGGCCAGCGUUGCUCGGAAUUACUGGGCGUAAAGGGUCCGUAGGCGGUGUGGCAAGUCGGGAGUGAAAUCUCUGGGCUUAACCCAGAGGCUGCUUCCGAAACUGCCAUGCUAGAGUGUGAGAGAGGCGAGUGGAAUUACGGGUGUAGCGGUGAAAUGCGUAGAUAUCCGUAGGAACAUCCGAGGCGAAGGCGGCUCGCUGGAUCACAACUGACGCUGAGGGACGAAAGCUAGGGGAGCAAACAGGAUUAGAUACCCUGGUAGUCCUAGCCCUAAACCAUCAGGACUUGGGGUGUGCCCUGUACGGGGCACGUCCCGUAGCUAACGCGUUAAGUCCUGCGCCUGGGGAGUACGGUCGCAAGGCUG
Molecule: ribosomal RNA, 537 nt
Filed under: uncultured bacterium
Lineage: Bacteria
Description: bacterial SSU rRNA
Rfam family: Bacterial small subunit ribosomal RNA
Source: RNAcentral